Molecule: long non-coding RNA, 616 nt
Organism: Triticum aestivum (bread wheat)
Lineage: Eukaryota; Viridiplantae; Streptophyta; Magnoliopsida; Poales; Poaceae
Exons: 2
Source: RefSeq, a predicted model, not a curated record
ACGAAUUUAUAGUUUGGUAAAGUAGAAGAAAUUAACUUUUGGCUUGCUGAACUUGGUGUUUCUUUUUGCAGCAUAAUGAUUUCAGAAGUACGGUCUAAUGGAAGGGUGGAGGAAGAUUUUUGAAAUGGCAAAGUCGUCAGCAAGGACAUGAGACAAGAGGUCUGACCGAACUACGUCAGUCAACUACGUCAGGUGCACCUUGACCUUCUGCCUGAGCAGAUGAACUAGCCACUGCCCUGGAUGUUGUGUCGUCCUCCAGUCCAGCUCUGCUGCUUCUGACCAAACACCUCAAACCAAGACUGAUUGCUCUAUUAUUGUGAUCGGUCAAUACAAUAUUGGUAUAUAUGUCUUGUAUAGUGCCCUUUUGCAUUAGUUUUCUUAUAUUUGCGGAGUGUGCAAAUGAGUUUCUUCUUACCUUUACUCAUUAAUAAUAGUAGUGAGCGAUUCUCUGUGUUUUGAGUUAUCUAUUGGAUCAAUGUAUUUUCUGGAUUUAUGAUGUUCAUUUUCAAAGUGAUAUUUGUACUAUGUUCGAAUUUUGAUGCAAGUUUUAACAUGUCAAUGGGAUCAUUAUGGCUUGAUUUUUUCCACCAAAUUAUUAUAGAUGUAAUUACCUACA